UACAGAGGGUGCAAGCGUUAAUCGGAAUUACUGGGCGUAAAGCGCGCGUAGGUGGUUUGGUAAGUCGGUUGUGAAAGCCCCGGGCUCACCCUGGGAAUUGCAGUCGAUACUGCCUGACUAGAGUAUGGUAGAGGGAAGUGGAAUUUCCGGUGUAGCGGUGAAAUGCGUAAAUAUCGGAAGGAACACCAGUGGCGAAGGCGACUUCCUGGGCCAAUACUGACGCUGAGGUGCGAAAGCGUGGGGAGCAAACAGG
Molecule: unclassified non-coding RNA, 253 nt
Filed under: uncultured Gammaproteobacteria bacterium
Lineage: Bacteria; Pseudomonadati; Pseudomonadota; Gammaproteobacteria
Description: contains 16S-23S intergenic spacer region
Rfam family: Bacterial small subunit ribosomal RNA
Source: RNAcentral